UACAGAGGGUGCAAGCGUUAAUCGGAAUUACUGGGCGUAAAGCGCAUGUAGGUGGGUAUUUAAGUCGAUUGUGAAAUCCCCGGGCUCAACCUGGGAAUUGCAGUCGAUACUGAAUGCCUAGAGUAUGGGAGAGGAGAGUGGAAUUUCCGGUGUAGCGGUGAAAUGCGUAGAUAUCGGAAGGAACACCAGUGGCGAAGGCGCCUCUCUGGCCUAAUACUGACACUAAAGUGCGAAAGCGUGGGGAGCAAACAGGAUUAGAUACCCUGGUAGUCCACGCCGUAAACGAUGAGAACUGGGCGCUGGGAGGCUUUGUCCUCUUAGUGCCGAAGCUAACGCGUUAAGUUCUCCGCCUGGGAAGUACGGCCGCAAGGUUAAA
RNAcentral lists this ribosomal RNA (376 nucleotides) under uncultured bacterium. RNAcentral's name for it is "bacterial SSU rRNA". It matches the Rfam family "Bacterial small subunit ribosomal RNA", at positions 524 to 898 of the family's 1533-position model. The record is from RNAcentral.